GUGGGGAAUCUUAGACAAUGGGGGAAACCCUGAUCUAGCCAUGCCGCGUGAGCGAUGAAGGCCUUAGGGUUGUAAAGCUCUUUCAGCUGGGAAGAUAAUGACGGUACCAGCAGAAGAAGCCCCGGCUAACUCCGUGCCAGCAGCCGCGGUAAUACGGAGGGGGCUAGCGUUGUUCGGAAUUACUGGGCGUAAAGCGCGCGUAGGCGGACCAGAAAGUUGGAGGUGAAAUCCCAGAGCUCAACCUUGGAACUGCCUUCAAAACUCCUGGUCUGGAGUUCGAGAGAGGUGAGUGGAAUUCCGAGUGUAGAGGUGAAAGUCGUAGAUAUUCGGAGGAACACCAGUGGCGAAGGCGGCUCACUGGCUCGAUACUGACGCUGAGGUGCGAAAGCGUGGGGAGCAAACAGGAUUAGAAACCCGUGUAGUCC
This 425-nucleotide ribosomal RNA is filed under the name uncultured bacterium. Its description in RNAcentral is "partial 16S ribosomal RNA". It matches the Rfam family "Bacterial small subunit ribosomal RNA", at positions 354 to 796 of the family's 1533-position model. The record is from RNAcentral.